GCCGGGAUGGCGGAAUUGGUAUACGCGAUGGACUCAAAAUCCAUUGUUCGCAAGGACUUGAGGGUUCGAGUCCCUCUCCCGGCACCA
This 87-nucleotide transfer RNA is filed under the name Patescibacteria group bacterium. Its description in RNAcentral is "tRNA-Leu". It matches the Rfam family "tRNA". From Rfam's summary of the family: Transfer RNA (tRNA) molecules are approximately 80 nucleotides in length. The record is from RNAcentral.